CCUUUAGUGGUCAAGUGGUUACACUAACACUGUUUAUUACGCAGUAGACCGGGGUUCGAUUCCCCACCGGAUGG
Non-coding RNA from Acanthoscelides obtectus, 74 nucleotides. The record is from the annotation of a GenBank genome assembly. Lineage: Eukaryota; Metazoa; Arthropoda; Insecta; Coleoptera; Chrysomelidae.